RNAcentral lists this non-coding RNA (45 nucleotides) under Schistosoma haematobium. Lineage: Eukaryota; Metazoa; Platyhelminthes; Trematoda; Strigeidida; Schistosomatidae. The record is from RNAcentral.
AUCCAGCUGACGAGUUUCAAAUAGGACGAAACGUGAAUUCUGGAU